Molecule: ribosomal RNA, 402 nt
Filed under: uncultured bacterium
Lineage: Bacteria
Description: bacterial SSU rRNA
Rfam family: Bacterial small subunit ribosomal RNA
Source: RNAcentral
UAGGGAAUUUUGCGCAAUGGGGGAAACCCUGACGCAGCAACACCGCGUGAAUGUUAAGCCCUUCGGGGUGUAAAGUUCUGUCAGUAGGGACGAAAUUUGACCGUACCUACAAAGGAAGCACCGGCUAACUCCGUGCCAGCAGCCGCGGUAAUACGGGGGGUGCAAGCGUUGUCCGGAAUCAUUGGGCGUAAAGCGUUCGUAGGCGGUAUAUCAAGUCUGGUGUUAAAGCCCGGGGCUCAACUCCGGUUCGGCACUGGAUACUGGUAAACUAGAAUGCGGUAGAGGUAAGGGGAAUUCCUGGUGUAGCGGUGAAAUGCGUAGAUAUUACACAGAACACCUAUUGCGAAGGCAGCUGACAAAACCAUUAUUGACGCUGAGGCACGAAAGUGUGGGGAUCAAACA